UAAGGAAUAUUGGACAAUGGUCGCAAGACUGAUCCAGCCAUGCCGCGUGCAGGAAGACGGCCCUAUGGGUUGUAAACUGCUUUUGUACCAGAGAAAACCUAUCUACGUGUAGAUAGCUGAUAGUAUGGUAAGAAUAAGCAUCGGCUAACUUCGUGCCAGCAGCCGCGGUAAGACGAAGGAUGCAAGCGUUAUCCGGAUUCAUUGGGUUUAAAGGGUGCGUAGGCGGGCUUGCAAGUCAGUGGUGAAAUCUCUCAGCUUAACUGAGAAACUGCCAUUGAUACUGCAGGCCUAGAGUAUAGAUGACGUUGGCGGAAUAUGACAUGUAGUGGUGAAAUACUUAGAUAUGUCAUAGAACACCGAUUGCGAAGGCAGCUAACGAGACUAUAACUGACGCUGAGGCACGAAAGUGCGGGGAUCAAACA
RNAcentral lists this ribosomal RNA (422 nucleotides) under uncultured bacterium. RNAcentral's name for it is "bacterial SSU rRNA". It matches the Rfam family "Bacterial small subunit ribosomal RNA", at positions 355 to 774 of the family's 1533-position model. The record is from RNAcentral.